GCUUAACGCGAAGAACCUUACCUACACUUGACAUGUCCGGACGAUUUCCAGAGAUGGAUUUCUUCCCGCAAGGGACUGGAAAACAGGUGCUGCAUGGCCGUCGUCAGCUCGUGUCGUGAGAUGUUUGGUUAAGUCCAGCAACGAGCGCAACCCCUACUGUCUGUUGCCAUCAGGUUAAGCUGGGCACUCUGACGGGACUGCCGGUGACAAGCCGGAGGAAGGCGGGGAUGACGUCAAGUCAUCAUGGCCCUUACGUGUAGGGCUACAAGCGUGCUACAAUGGCAGUGACAAUGGGCAGCCACUUCGCAAGGAGGCGCUAAUCCCAAAAAGCUGUCUCAGUUCAGAUUGUCCUCUGCAACUCGAGGGCAUGAAGUUGGAAUCGCUAGUAAUCGGCCAUCAGCAUGGGCCGGUGAAUACGUUCCCGGGUCUUGUACACACCG
Molecule: ribosomal RNA, 440 nt
Filed under: uncultured bacterium
Lineage: Bacteria
Description: bacterial SSU rRNA
Rfam family: Bacterial small subunit ribosomal RNA
Source: RNAcentral